RNAcentral lists this transfer RNA (88 nucleotides) under Atopobiaceae bacterium. Its description in RNAcentral is "tRNA-Ser". It matches the Rfam family "tRNA". Rfam says of the family: Transfer RNA (tRNA) molecules are approximately 80 nucleotides in length. Their secondary structure includes four short double-helical elements and three loops (D, anti-codon, and T loops). Further hydrogen bonds mediate the characteristic L-shaped molecular structure. tRNAs have two regions of fundamental functional importance: the anti-codon, which is responsible for specific mRNA codon recognition, and the 3' end, to which the tRNAs corresponding amino acid is attached (by aminoacyl-tRNA synthetases). tRNAs cope with the degeneracy of the genetic code in two manners: having more than one tRNA (with a specific anti-codon) for a particular amino acid; and 'wobble' base-pairing, i.e. permitting non-standard base-pairing at the 3rd anti-codon position. The record is from RNAcentral. Lineage: Bacteria; Bacillati; Actinomycetota; Coriobacteriia; Coriobacteriales; Atopobiaceae.
GGAGGGGUGGCAGAGUGGUUGAAUGCAGCGGUCUUGAAAACCGCCGGGCCGAAAGGUCUCGCGGGUUCGAAUCCCGCCCCCUCCGCCA